GUUUGAUCAUGGCUCAGGAUGAACGCUAGCGGCAGGCCUAACACAUGCAAGUCGAGGGGUAUAGUAGCAAUACUAGAGACCGGCGCACGGGUGCGUAACGCGUAUGCAAUCUACCUUUUACAGGGGAAUAGCCCAGAGAAAUUUGGAUUAAUGCCCCAUGGUAUAUAUGAAUCGCAUGGUUUAUAUAUUAAAGUUCCAACGGUAAAAGAUGAGCAUGCGUCCCAUUAGUUAGUUGGUAAGGUAACGGCUUACCAAGACGAUGAUGGGUAGGGGUCCUGAGAGGGAGAUCCCCCACACUGGUACUGAGACACGGACCAGACUCCUACGGGAGGCAGCAGUGAGGAAUACUGGACAAUGGGCGCAAGCCUGAUCCAGCCAUGCCGCGUGCAGGAAGACGGUCCUAUGGAUUGUAAACUGCUUUUGUACGGGAAGAAACACUCCGACGUGUCGGAGCUUGACGGUACCGUAAGAAUAAGGAUCGGCUAACUCCGUGCCAGCAGCCGCGGUAAUAC
RNAcentral lists this ribosomal RNA (512 nucleotides) under uncultured bacterium. Its description in RNAcentral is "bacterial SSU rRNA". It matches the Rfam family "Bacterial small subunit ribosomal RNA", at positions 11 to 526 of the family's 1533-position model. The record is from RNAcentral.